RNAcentral lists this microRNA precursor (76 nucleotides) under Myotis brandtii (Brandt's bat). RNAcentral's name for it is "mir-9229 microRNA precursor family". It matches the Rfam family "mir-9229 microRNA precursor family". The record is from Rfam by way of RNAcentral. Lineage: Eukaryota; Metazoa; Chordata; Mammalia; Chiroptera; Vespertilionidae.
GAGACACCCUUAUGGGGCAGGACUUGCUUCACUGGGGCUUUGGUGCUCACUGAGUCUGCCCCUUCAGUGUGUUGCU